GCCCGGGUGGCGAAACUGGUUAGACGCGCACGUUCGAGGGGCGUGUGCCGAAAGGCAUGGAGGUUCGAAUCCUCUCCCGGGCA
RNAcentral lists this transfer RNA (83 nucleotides) under Candidatus Harrisonbacteria bacterium. RNAcentral describes it as "tRNA-Leu". It matches the Rfam family "tRNA". Rfam says of the family: Transfer RNA (tRNA) molecules are approximately 80 nucleotides in length. Their secondary structure includes four short double-helical elements and three loops (D, anti-codon, and T loops). Lineage: Bacteria; Candidatus Harrisoniibacteriota. The record is from RNAcentral.